UACGAAGGGGGCUAGCGUUGCUCGGAAUCACUGGGCGUAAAGCGCACGUAGGCGGACUCUUAAGUCGGUGGUGAAAUCCUGGAGCUCAACUCCAGAACUGCCCUCGAUACUGAGAGUCUUGAGUCCGGGAGAGGUGAGUGGAACUGCGAGUGUAGAGGUGAAAUUCGUAGAUAUUCGCAAGAACACCAGUGGCGAAGGCGGCUCACUGGCCCGGUACUGACGCUGAGGUGCGAAAGCGUGGGGAGCAAACAGG
Molecule: ribosomal RNA, 253 nt
Filed under: uncultured bacterium
Lineage: Bacteria
Description: partial 16S ribosomal RNA
Rfam family: Bacterial small subunit ribosomal RNA
Source: RNAcentral